RNAcentral lists this ribosomal RNA (433 nucleotides) under uncultured bacterium. Its description in RNAcentral is "partial 16S ribosomal RNA". It matches the Rfam family "Bacterial small subunit ribosomal RNA", at positions 29 to 507 of the family's 1533-position model. The record is from RNAcentral.
AACGAACGCUGGCGGCAUGCCUAACACAUGCAAGUCGAACGACACCUUCGGAUCAAGUGGCGCAUGGGUGCGUAACGCGUGGGAACCUGCCCUUAGGCUCGGGAUAACUCCCCGUAGGGGGUGCUAAUACCGGAUAACGUCCUCUGAUCAAAGAUUCAUCGCCUUUGGAUGGGCCCGCGUUGGUUUAACUAGUUGGUAGUGUAAAAGCCUAUCAAGGCGUCGAUACAUAGCUGGGCUGAGAGGAUGGGCCGCCACACUGGGACUGAGACGCGGCGGAGACUAGUAGGCGAGGGAGCAGUGGGGAAUAUUGGACAAUGGGGGGAGUGCUGAUCCAGCAAUGCCGGGAGAGUCAUGAUGUCGUUAGAGAUGUAAAGCACGUUUACCCGGGAUGAUAAUGACAGUACCGAGAGAAUAAGCACCGGCUAACUUCGUG